Molecule: ribosomal RNA, 455 nt
Filed under: uncultured bacterium
Lineage: Bacteria
Description: bacterial SSU rRNA
Rfam family: Bacterial small subunit ribosomal RNA
Source: RNAcentral
AACGAACGCUGGCGGCAGGCCUAAAACAUGCAAGUCGAACGAACCUUCGGGUUAGUGGCGCACGGGUGCGUAACGCGUGGGAAUAUGCCUCUUGGUGCGGAACAACGUCUGGAAACGGACGCUAAUACCGCGUAAUAUCUACGGAUCAAAGAUUUAUCGCCAAGAGAUUAGCCCGCGUCUGAUUAGCUAGUUGGUGAGGUAACGGCUCACCAAGGCGACGAUCAGUAGCUGGUCUGAGAGGAUGAUCAGCCACACUGGAACUGAGACACGGUCCAGACUCCUACGGGAGGCAGCAGUUAGGAAUAUUGGACAAUGGGCGAAAGCCUGAUCCAGCCAUGCCGCGUGUGUGAAGAAGGCCUUAGGGUUGUAAAGCACUUUCAGCCGUGAAGAUAAUGACAGUAGCGGAAGAAGAAGCUCCGGCUAAAUUCGUGCCAGCAGCCGCGGUAAAGUAGUCG